Molecule: ribosomal RNA, 417 nt
Filed under: Eucypris virens
Lineage: Eukaryota; Metazoa; Arthropoda; Ostracoda; Podocopida; Cyprididae
Description: partial 16S ribosomal RNA
Rfam family: Bacterial large subunit ribosomal RNA
Source: RNAcentral
AUUAUGACUGUGCUAAGGUAGCAUAAUAAUUUGUCUUUUAAAUGGGGACUGGAAUGAAAGGUUUUAUGAGGGUAUGUUGAUGAUUUAAUGAACUUUUGAAGUUAAGGUUUAAGUUAAAAUUCUUAAAUUUAUUUGAGGGACGAGAAGACCCUGUGGAUCUUUAUAUUGGAUAUAAUAAAUUAUUAUAAAUGUUUUAUUAUUUUAAAAAUUUGAUUGGGACGAUUAUUAUUUUAACAUAAUUUUAAAGAUUUAUUUUGAUCCUUCUAAAGGAAUUAAGAUUAAGUUACCCCAGGGAUAACAGCGUUAUACUAUUGGAUAGUUCAUAUUGAUAAUAAUGUUUGCGACCUCGAUGUUGAAUUAAAAUUUCUUUUUAAAGCAGAAGUUAAAUUAGUAAGUCUGUUCGACUUUUAAAAUUUU